RNAcentral lists this ribosomal RNA (441 nucleotides) under Porphyromonas endodontalis. Its description in RNAcentral is "bacterial SSU rRNA". It matches the Rfam family "Bacterial small subunit ribosomal RNA", at positions 28 to 458 of the family's 1533-position model. The record is from RNAcentral. Lineage: Bacteria; Pseudomonadati; Bacteroidota; Bacteroidia; Bacteroidales; Porphyromonadaceae.
GAUGAACGCUAGCGAUAGGCUUAACACAUGCAAGUCGAGGGGCAGCAUUAUUUUAGCUUGCUAAGAUAGAUGGCGACCGGCGCACGGGUGCGUAACGCGUAUGCAACCUGCCUGUAAUUAGGGAAUAACCCGGUGAAAGUCGGACUAAUACCCUAUAUUCUUCUUUCUCCGCAUGGGGAAGGACGGAAAGAUUUAUUGAUUACAGAUGGGCAUGCGUCCCAUUAGCUUGUUGGUAAGGUAACGGCUUACCAAGGCAACGAUGGGUAGGGGGACUGAGAGGUUGACCCCCCACACUGGUACUGAGACACGGACCAGACUCCUACGGGAGGCAGCAGUGAGGAAUAUUGGUCAAUGGGCGAGAGCCUGAACCAGCCAAGUCGCGUGAAGGACGACGGUUCUAUGGAUUGUAAAACUUCUUUUGUAGAGGAAAUAAAUGCUCAG